This 75-nucleotide transfer RNA is filed under the name Lentibacillus salicampi. Its description in RNAcentral is "tRNA-Cys". It matches the Rfam family "tRNA". Rfam says of the family: Transfer RNA (tRNA) molecules are approximately 80 nucleotides in length. Their secondary structure includes four short double-helical elements and three loops (D, anti-codon, and T loops). The record is from RNAcentral. Lineage: Bacteria; Bacillati; Bacillota; Bacilli; Caryophanales; Bacillaceae.
GGUGGCAUAGCCAAGCGGUUAAGGCAAAGGUCUGCAAAACCUUGAUCCUCGGUUCGAUUCCGAGUGCCACCUCCA